RNAcentral lists this ribosomal RNA (306 nucleotides) under uncultured bacterium. Its description in RNAcentral is "partial 16S ribosomal RNA". It matches the Rfam family "Bacterial small subunit ribosomal RNA", at positions 1 to 334 of the family's 1533-position model. The record is from RNAcentral.
CUAGCGACUUCAGAGUUUGAUCCUGGCUCAGGAUGAACGCUGGCGGCGUGCCUAAGACAUGCAAGUCGAGCGGGUUUAGACCCGCGGCAAACGGGUGAGUAAUACCCAGGAACGUACCUUUAGUUGAGCAUAACCCACCGAAAGGUGGAGCAAUUCUCAAUGUGAUCGCAAGAUUAAAGCAGCAAUGCGCUAAAGAAGCGGCCUGGGCACCAUCAGCUAGUUGGUAAGGUAAAAGCUUACCAAGGCUAUGACGGUUAGGGGCCCCGAGAGGGGAAACCUCCACACUGGAACUGAGACACGGUCCAG